This is a long non-coding RNA of Bufo bufo (common toad), 854 nucleotides long. RefSeq lists it as uncharacterized. The record is from RefSeq and is a predicted model, not a curated record. The transcript is spliced from 2 exons. Lineage: Eukaryota; Metazoa; Chordata; Amphibia; Anura; Bufonidae.
UAAAUACACAAAUCUGAUUGAUCAAAAAGCAACAAAGAAAAAAUCCCUGUAGAGAAAUGUAAUGUUCAAACGAGAAAACCGAUUUCACACAAAUCCAGUCAUAACACGUCCGAGACAAUAAUGACUCCGUUAUAUCUGACUUCCCAUAUGGUUCAGUAAAUAAAAUAAAAAAAGGCAAAAAAAAAAAAUUUAUGGCAUUUUAAUAAAAAAAAGGUCAAACCUUUAUUUUUUUUUUAUAUAAAGGAAACAAAAAAUAGAAAAUAAUGUACAAAAAACAACAAAAAGAAAAUAAGAAUAAAAGUCAUUUCCAGCCUCACGCAUCCAUUUACACAAUGAAAAGUUCUCCUUGGAAAAGUUUAUUUCCCCUUUCGGUUUAUGUACAUGACCUCAGAAACACAGUGGAGGGAUAAGUUAUACUGCAAAAAUAAUUCUAUUCUAUGGAUGUGACUGUAACCAAAAGUCUGCCCCCCCCUCCCCCCCCCCCCCCCGAUAUAGAGCAGUGGCAAUUUACAAAGAACAUGCAAUAUAUAUUAUACUAUAUAUUAGAAAACAUAAUAUACACAAAAUAGCUUCAAUUCACAACUGUAUUUAAUGAACAGAAUUUUACAUGAACCUUCUGUGAAAAUAGUCGACAUCUGUGGCGCCGGAUACAAAUAAGGCCGCGUUCAAUAAGUCGCAAAAAAAAACAAAAAAACAACUGUUUGACAAGUUCCAUUUACAUUAAAGCACCAUAUAUAUUUUUUUGUAAUACUCUUGUAGGGUCAUAAGUAGCCCCUUUAAAGGGAGAGGACUUUUUUUUUUCUUUGUUUUAGAUCGCACAAGAUUUAUUUGACAUUUUAUUGUUAAUUUAAAAA